Long non-coding RNA from Corapipo altera (White-ruffed manakin), 922 nucleotides. RefSeq lists it as uncharacterized. The record is from RefSeq and is a predicted model, not a curated record. The transcript is spliced from 3 exons. NCBI's taxonomy places the organism in Eukaryota, Metazoa, Chordata, Aves, Passeriformes, Pipridae.
CCGCACCAAACGGCAGACUUAGCUGCAGUGUCAGGGAAACAGGGCCCUGAUUAACUCAUAAAAAAUGAAAUGAAAAUCCAAUUCGUUCAAUUCCAUUCCCAGCCGCAGGCUGCGCUCGGGACGAGGGCGGGCGGAAGUGACGCAGCCGGGUGGAAGAAGCUGCCGUGGAGCAGGGCGGAAGUGCUGGCGAGAGCGGUGCGGUUCCGGUGCAGGUGAGCGGCGGCCGAGCUGCGGGAGCGGCGUCAGAGGCUGGCAGGAUCUACUUCAGAGGCUUAAAUGCUGCUUCUGGAAAACACUGGAAGAGUAUUGCGGACCUGCAUUUCUAUAUAAAGUAAACGCCGUUCUCUCUGACCCACUGGUGCUGCCUUAGUUGGUGAUUGGGGUCGCUCCCUGUCCUCACUGACCUCCCUUCUCAGGCUCAUGCUGGAGCUGAAAUUGGUUCAUUCAGAGGGCAAAAUCCUCGCUGGGUUGCACAUGCUGGCUGGCUGGUGGUCCCUCUUGGCAAACAGAUUGUGUAUGAACCAGCAACAUCACAGCUAAGCAACCUUGGUGAAGAGCGAGAUCCCUGAAAAGAGUAUAACAGUUGCAAGUGUAGCUCAUAAAUGCUGCAGGAAGGAAUUCUUGUUUCUGUUAGCAUCUGUCCCCCAAGGUAGCUCCCCAUGUAUUUUACAGUCCAGUUGGAUAUGAAUAGCAUAAGACCAGACAUUGGCUUCAGGGCAGUGGCUGUGCCUGCCCAAUGAUUGCAGUUCGUUUUGGUCUGAGGUUAAGAGAGAGAUUCACUUCCAAGCUUUGCACUUUCUCAUGCAUGCAGCCUGUCCAUAUGGCAGAUAACUGUGCCUUUAAAAAUCCAUAUCCACUUUCCUUUCCGUCUUCACAAUAAGUCAUCACUGAGUCCUGAUGGGCUUUUGCAAGUGGAAGAGAU